RNAcentral lists this ribosomal RNA (253 nucleotides) under uncultured bacterium. Its description in RNAcentral is "partial 16S ribosomal RNA". It matches the Rfam family "Bacterial small subunit ribosomal RNA", at positions 524 to 776 of the family's 1533-position model. The record is from RNAcentral.
UACGUAGGUGGCAAGCGUUGUCCGGAUUUACUGGGCGUAAAGAGCGCGCAGGCGGUCGGAUAAGUCGAAUGUGAAAGCCCCCGGCUCAACUGGGGAGGGUCAUUCGAAACUGUCCAACUCGAAGGCAGGAGAGGGAAGCGGAAUUCCUGGUGUAGCGGUGAAAUGCGUAGAUAUCAGGAGGAACACCUGCGGUGUAGACGGCUUUCUGGACCAUUGUUGACGCUGAGACACGAAAGCGUGGGUAGCAAACAGG